RNAcentral lists this long non-coding RNA (1145 nucleotides) under Anolis carolinensis (green anole). RNAcentral's name for it is "lncRNA (ENSACAG00000035543.1)". Lineage: Eukaryota; Metazoa; Chordata; Lepidosauria; Squamata; Anolidae. The record is from RNAcentral.
AUGUGGUUACAUAGGCCUCUUCUACACCACCAUAUAAUCCAAGUUAUCCAAACAGAUAAUCUGGAUUUUAUAUGGCCAUGUAGAAGAGGCCAUGGUCCUCUGCUACCCCCAAUUCCUUUGCCGACCUUUCAUUCCACUCCAAAAAUAACUCUAAUAGUUGAAGAACGUUCAAGAGAACAUGUCCUGAAGGCUGUAGCCCAGGAAAGAAAAUUCUCAUCACCAGAAAUAUUUUCUUUGAGGCAGCUUGGAGCCUGGUUAAUGGAAUGUAAAUGCAUGUAGAAUUCUGAUAUUCUAAAUGCACUAAGGUGUUUCUGCCUUCCUUUUGUUUCCAAACACAAUCAGGUAGUAAAGUAUUCUAAAUCAGGAAAAAAGACAUUUACAUUAAAUCUACCUGGUCAACAGGCAUUUCCACUUGGAUAUCUUUGUCUUCUUGUAUCAUUUGGGCCCCUUUAAUUUCUUCAGGGGGCUGCUGAGCUUUAUAGACACUAGGUUCUGAAAAUUAAUUGUAUUUAAAAAAAAACCCACAUCAACCAUUAUCUACUGCAUGCUGUUGAAAAUCAUUAGAAUAAAUACAUUCUAUUAACCCUUAAGGCUGAAAAGCAAUUAUUUCUGAUGAACAUUGUUUGUACAAAAACAAGCUAUUGCUCUAUUUUCAAGAAAAUCCAACCUAAUAAUGAUCACAAUGCUGAAACCUUUCAUUUACAUAUUAAAGAACACCAGUAGUAACAGAAAACAUCGAAUAAAAUAUUCAAAGCUUUAAGACUGAAUUGAAAUAACAUUAAUAAUGGCUAAAAGCCAGUCUCCAUAAAGUGAAAGUGGCAGUUGAGAUGCAAAUGUAACUUUUAAAAAUAUCAAACUCCUGUGAAAAACACAAGAAGGAAGUAGCACAAUUUUCUGGUGGGUUGGUACUCUGUCCAGCAAGAGGCAGCACAAAAUAAAAUGAAGUGAGGAAAACCACCAUGGCAAGAGUUUGUGAAUAUAAACAACACAGUACUUCAAAACACUCUGCCUAGCAAAAAUGUCUCUUAUAUCUACUUUAGACUGAGGUUAUAAUUUUUCUAUGUUGUAUUAUGAAACCAUGUCUCAUCCUAGGGAAUAGUCAAAACAACAAAAAAUGAUAUAAUUCUACACUACUCAGGGUUCUU